This is a long non-coding RNA of Onychostruthus taczanowskii (white-rumped snowfinch), 296 nucleotides long. RefSeq lists it as uncharacterized. The transcript has 3 exons. Lineage: Eukaryota; Metazoa; Chordata; Aves; Passeriformes; Passeridae. The record is from RefSeq and is a predicted model, not a curated record.
UUAGGAUUUGCAUCAUCUGAGCCACCUGCCUCUGUAUGUAUGCUUAUUUACUACUUCAGAGGAAGAAAAAAACCAUGAACAUGUGAAGAGGAAUUCUGAAGAAAGAUGAAUGACAAAGACUUGUGAUUACUUCCAGAAUGUUGUAUCAGAAGUGACAAAAGUUUAGCAGUCUAUCAGUUCACUUCUCUGAGGAUAAAAUGGCAGGAUUAAUGAAGAGCUUAAUGAUCUCCUGCUGUGAUGAAGAGUCCAGGAAGUAGCUGCUCUAGAAGGAGAUGUUCUGGUACCAGCUGAGGAGC